UUUCGGAGGAAAAGAAACCAACAGGGAUUGCCCCAGUAACGGCGAGUGAAGCGGCAACAGCUCAAAUUUGAAAUCUGGCUCUCGGGCCCGAGUUGUAAUUUGUAGAGGAUGCUUUUGGUGAGGUGCCUUCCGAGUUCCCUGGAACGGGACGCCAUAGAGGGUGAGAGCCCCGUCUGGUUGGACACCGAUCCUCUGUAAAGCUCCUUCGACGAGUCGAGUAGUUUGGGAAUGCUGCUCUAAAUGGGAGGUAUAUGUCUUCUAAAGCUAAAUACCGGCCAGAGACCGAUAGCGCACAAGUAGAGUGAUCGAAAGAUGAAAAGAACUUUGAAAAGAGAGUUAAAAAGUACGUGAAAUUGUUGAAAGGGAAGCGCUUGUGACCAGACUUGGGCUUGGUUGAUCAUCCGGGGUUCUCCCCGGUGCACUCUUCCGGCUCAGGCCAGCAUCAGUUCGCCCUGGGGGAUAAAGGCUUCGGGAAUGUGGCUCUCUCCGGGGAGUGUUAUAGCCCGCUGCGUAAUACCCUGUGGCGGACUGAGGUUCGCGCAUUCGCAAGGAUGCUGGCGUAAUGGUCAUCAGUGACCCGUCUUGAACCACGGGACC
RNAcentral lists this ribosomal RNA (597 nucleotides) under Fusarium solani. RNAcentral describes it as "eukaryotic LSU rRNA". It matches the Rfam family "Eukaryotic large subunit ribosomal RNA", at positions 48 to 664 of the family's 3401-position model. Lineage: Eukaryota; Fungi; Ascomycota; Sordariomycetes; Hypocreales; Nectriaceae. The record is from RNAcentral.